RNAcentral lists this unclassified non-coding RNA (745 nucleotides) under Hevea brasiliensis (rubber tree). Lineage: Eukaryota; Viridiplantae; Streptophyta; Magnoliopsida; Malpighiales; Euphorbiaceae. The record is from RNAcentral.
GGCGGGGGUCGCGCUGGGGCUUGGUAUGUUUGUGUAUUCCACAGUCCAAACACACACUUCUAGUCAGCUAUGUUACCCUUAAAAGGGAACAAAAUAAUAACAAUACCUGCACAGUUGAAGCAGCCCGAAUUGCAUCUCUUUGGAUAUCCAAUGAAGUAAUGAUCAUGAUGACCAUAACCUAAAAAGAGACAUUUAGCUAAAUACAGCAUCAGUGACCAUAAUGGUAGUCUUGUUGGACUCCUCCCUAGAAAUUCUGCCCUUGCUCUACUCUUGUGAUAUAGUUUCUUGUAGUUCUUCUUCUCUAACAUGAUUGUAUGAUUAAAUUUCAUUAAAAUCUUAAAGUAAUAAUAAAUUAAAAAAUAUUUUAAAAAUAAAAUAGUAACAUAUUAAGCUUUUUUCAAAAAACAAAGAGUCACUAUGAAACACAUUCAUUCAUAUGCAAAGUUAUUAUAUGUAGGUAUGAUUAUCCAUUUCUUGAACCUCUCUUUUUGGCAUGCAUAAAAAGAACUUUUUAUACGAACAGAAUUUAGAGAGAUAUGAAGAGAAGAAGAAGAAACUAGAAGAAAUGUCUAGAUAGACAUACCUUUCUAUUUUAAAUUUCAACAUAUAUGACUUUCUAUUUUCAAAACUAAUUAAAUAGACACCUCUUCUAACAGAUAUGACUGUAUAUUUUUAUUAGACAUGUCUAUUUAUAAACGGACACAUUUUUAUUAACAAAUAUAAUUGCUAGGAUUUUUAUACGAAA